RNAcentral lists this ribosomal RNA (253 nucleotides) under uncultured bacterium. RNAcentral's name for it is "partial 16S ribosomal RNA". It matches the Rfam family "Bacterial small subunit ribosomal RNA", at positions 524 to 776 of the family's 1533-position model. The record is from RNAcentral.
UACGGGGGGGGCAAGCGUUGUUCGGAAUUACUGGGCGUAAAGGGCUCGUAGGCGGCCAACUAAGUCAUACGUGAAAUCCCUCGGCUUAACCGGGGAACUGCGUCUGAUACUGGAUGGCUUGAGUUCGGGAGAGGGAUGCGGAAUUCCAGGUGUAGCGGUGAAAUGCGUAGAUAUCUGGAGGAACACCGGUGGCGAAGGCGGCAUCCUGGACCGAUACUGACGCUGAGGCACGAAAGCGUGGGGAGCGAACAGG